GACGUAGGGCGCGAGCGUUGUCCGGAUUUAUUGGGCGUAAAGAGCUCGUAGGCGGCUUGUCGCGUCGACCGUGAAAACUCACAGCUCAACUGUGAGCCUGCGGUCGAUACGGGCAGGCUAGAGUUCGGUAGGGGAGACUGGAAUUCCUGGUGUAGCGGUGAAAUGCGCAGAUAUCAGGAGGAACACCGGUGGCGAAGGCGGGUCUCUGGGCCGAUACUGACGCUGAGGAGCGAAAGCGUGGGGAGCGAACAGG
RNAcentral lists this ribosomal RNA (253 nucleotides) under uncultured bacterium. RNAcentral describes it as "partial 16S ribosomal RNA". It matches the Rfam family "Bacterial small subunit ribosomal RNA", at positions 524 to 776 of the family's 1533-position model. The record is from RNAcentral.